UCCAACUUGGUAGCAAGUGCAUCCAAGAUUCCUCCUUUCCCUUGCUUGCGGCAGAUUGGGUUAUGCACAGAUUUUGGGUAGUUUUAUGAUGUAGAAUGGAUGGGGAAUGGUAUGGAAGGGUUUAGGGUGAGUGUGGAGGAGUGUUUAAUGGUUGGAGGGUGGUGGAGAACUAGGUUAAGAGGGUGGAAGAAGGUGGAGUGGCUGUUAU
RNAcentral lists this long non-coding RNA (208 nucleotides) under Malus domestica (apple). RNAcentral describes it as "long non-coding RNA (MDOM_LNC021236)". Lineage: Eukaryota; Viridiplantae; Streptophyta; Magnoliopsida; Rosales; Rosaceae. The record is from RNAcentral.